GAUGAACGCUGGCGGCGUGCCUAAUACAUGCAAGUCGAGCGAACGGACGAGAAGCUUGCUUCUCUGAUGUUAGCGGCGGACGGGUGAGCAACACGUGGAUAACCUACCUAUAAGACUGGGAUAACUUCGGGAAACCGGAGCUAAUACCGGAUAAUAUUUUGAACCGCAUGGUUCAAAAGUGAAAGACGGUCUUGCUGUCACUUAUAGAUGGAUCCGCGCUGCAUUAGCUAGUUGGUAAGGUAACGGCUUACCAAGGCAACCAUGCAUAGCCGACCUGAGAGGGUGAUCGGCCACACUGGAACUGAGACACGGUCCAGACUCCUACGGGAGGCAGCAGUAGGGAAUCUUCCGCAAUGGGCGAAAGCCUGACGGAGCAACGCCGCGUGAGUGAUGAAGGUCUUCGGAUCGUAAAACUCUGUUAUUAGGGAAGAACAUAUGUGUAAGUAACUGUGCACAUCUUGACGGUACCUAAUCAGAAAGCCACGGCUAACUACGUG
RNAcentral lists this ribosomal RNA (497 nucleotides) under uncultured bacterium. RNAcentral's name for it is "partial 16S ribosomal RNA". It matches the Rfam family "Bacterial small subunit ribosomal RNA", at positions 28 to 507 of the family's 1533-position model. The record is from RNAcentral.